Molecule: long non-coding RNA, 1231 nt
Organism: Haliotis rufescens (red abalone)
Lineage: Eukaryota; Metazoa; Mollusca; Gastropoda; Lepetellida; Haliotidae
Exons: 5
Source: RefSeq, a predicted model, not a curated record
AAGCCAGGCUCUGUCUCAACAGAAAAAUAAAUAGAUUACCGCAGAGCAACUUCAGCCUGUAACCAGCUAGCUUUCUAGAUGUAGAAGUAGCUUCGUAAUGGUGAAAUGCGCCAUGCAAACCUUUCAACCACCAUUCCAGUAUGUUCCCAGUCACCUGGAAUUACAAAUAGAAUCUACAUUAUCAUGAAGAAAAUUAUACGGUAACCAUUGAUAAUAUUACAUCACCAGCUGGUCACAUGACCUCGUCAUGCAUCAUCAUCCGCCGCCAUUUUGUGUAAGCAGUAUGCAUCGGAGGCAGAAAAUUUAUUCAAGCUCUGAAGUCCCAAACAACUGAAAAUGCUCCAAAACACCAUCACGUGACCCUGGUAUUCUCAAAGUGCUGGUGAAAGUGUUUGUUUUGUAGGCCUAAAUGUUUGUUGAUAGUAGAGAGGCGGACUGAUAGACUUUAUAACAAGUCAUGAUCAACAUUCCCCAACUGUUAGUUAAUUACACUGGUCAGUCUACAUCUGUAUUGUUUCUUUGCAACCUGUCAACAAACUCAAAUUUAUCCAUUUAUACCUGAAUAAUUGUGUUGUCAUAUUUUAAGAUGAUGACUAGGCCUACAGCAUCUAACUAACUGUAAUCCUCUGAUAACUAAAUGUCUGAAGGCAAAAUACCAUUUUAUUGAUGAAUAUAUCUCCAUUUAACUCAUACAGAUUAGUGUAGGGUGUAAUGUUGGAAUGUUUUUGUUGACAGUAGCAGGCACUACAUCUGCCUAUGAGCAAAUGGACAGAACUGAGAAUACCUUAUCAUGAACCGUAGUGAACACUGCUGGAAACAUCCUGUUUUAGGAUCGUUUUCUUCACAUACAAGCCCCACCAGUGCAGUUGGCACACAACAGCAUCCCUCCUGAUCAAAUGAAAAGGAAUCCUAUGACACCGCUUGAUCUUUGUCUGACAUGGAAAUCUGCAAAUCAAAUAAGGUGGAAGAAUAACAUCUGGUUAAAAAAUUUAUGUGGAAAAAUAUCUGCUUUAAAGUGAUGUCAUGAACUGGAUGCUGCACUCUUGAUUCCAACACUAAUAUUGUCAUGACCAAAUGUUAAAGUUCAUAUUCAGCAAGUUGAAGAUAACUGACACCAUCUUUAAGUAUAAGUUGCACAAAUAUGGUAUUCAGAAGUUUUUUGUUUACACUACUGAUGUAUAUAUAGUAUAAAAAAAUGGAUUUCUGUAAUAGAAUAAAGUAUUGGAAUACA